UCCGGUUUGUCACCGGCAGUCUCCCUAGGGUCCCCACCAUUACGUGCUGGCAACUAAGGACAAGGGUUGCGCUCGUUACGGGACUUAACCCAACAUCUCACGACACGAGCUGACAGCAACCAUGCAGCACCUGUGCAGGCUCCCUUGCGGGUCCUUUCCCUUUCAGGUCCGUACCACCUGCAUGUCAAGCCCAGGUAAGGUUCUUCGCGUUGCUUCGAAUUAAACCACAUGCUCCACCGCUUGUGCGGGCCCCCGUCAAUUCCUUUGAGUUUCAGCCUUGCGGCCGUACUCCCCAGGCGGGGCACUUAAUGCGUUAGCUCCGACACCGAAUGCGUCUAUACACCCGGCAUCUAGUGCCCAUCGUUUACGGCGUGGACUAC
Molecule: unclassified non-coding RNA, 380 nt
Filed under: uncultured bacterium
Lineage: Bacteria
Description: contains 16S-23S intergenic spacer region
Source: RNAcentral